Non-coding RNA from Meleagris gallopavo (turkey), 4068 nucleotides. The record is from RefSeq and is a predicted model, not a curated record. NCBI's taxonomy places the organism in Eukaryota, Metazoa, Chordata, Aves, Galliformes, Phasianidae.
CCUGGACCCAUUUAAGAGCUGUCUGCCAGAGGGGAAGGAUCUUUUCUGGAGAUCUACUUUGCUGGAGCUUGGUAAGUGAGCCCAGGAUACAGAGCUGUGAGGUGCCUGACAGUCCAUCACAGGAAAAGGAUGUGAUGGAGAGAAGCAGUAGGCAAAGAGAUAUGAGACAAAGAUGCAGAAUUGUCCCCAGAAGAAUCUGAGUAAGGAAGAAAAGCUCUGGGAAAGGAUUUGGUCAAUUGCUUCAGCCUGCCUCUGGUCACAGUGGUCCUCACUUAUAUUUUUAGAGGAUGAUUUCCAAAAUUUGGACUGAAUACAUUAAAGUAUUUCAGUGGCCUUACUGGCUUUUGAAACCUAAUGUGGCCUAAGAUUUCCUCAAGGUCUAAAUGAGCACUCUGUCAUUUAAACUGGACUUAAAAAUAUACCUGCAAAAACACUGUCUGACAGCUCUCAUAAUACUGAAGUGUUCAAGUUUUCAUGGAACUUGGAAGAAAAAGAGACAGAAGCUAAUUCCUACCAGAAAGUAAAGGACAUAGAAGGUCACAUUUCUUUGCAAGGUAUAAUGCGAGAGCAAACGGGCUUCAUUGUAACACUAGAGCAAGCAAAGUGUAUCAACACCAAUUCUCUCUUAAAAGAGUGAUCCCAGAGCAGAUGCAGCACAUCACUCAUGCUAUGGAAUUUGGAAAUCUUUUUGCCAGAGACACAUCAGCUCCUGGAUAGCUCAGUUGGCUUUGAAAGUACGUUUUAAAAAAGUUUCUUCAUAAAGUGUUUGUUAAUUUUGAAAACAAACUGAUUGAAUGUGAAACUGUGAGGACUGCAUUUUACAUCUGUCCUUUGACUUUGUGCACAAAGUUAGUGUAGCAGCUAAGGACCAAUUAUGUAACCACUAACAAGACAGCUGCUGGUUAUAAUUUCUUCACUAUCCCUGUAAGCUCAUUUGUAGUUCAGAAAUCGCUCAUAGUCAAGGGGCUGAUAGAAAUCUUCCAAAAUCUGUGUGAAAAAUACAUUAAGCCAUGUUCUGUGACAGUCAUCUGCACAGCAGCACAAGUAAUUCCAAGCGCCUCUUGAAGAACCCUCUUAAAAAUAGGGUUUCCCACAAAUAUUUUGCUGGCUGAAUAUAUGGAGCCUGACUGGGCUUUUCACUUACUGGGAAAUAAUUCCAGCCCCAUCUACUGAGCCAUUCUAAAUUUGCAACAGAUUGUACAUUUAGAGAAAACACACAGCAAAUGUACAACAUUUGUCAUCUUAUGUAAAUUGUAAGUUCUUCAGGGAAGAGGCAUUUUCUUGCUGUAAUAAAAAGAGCUCCAGUAGCAGUCUUAAAGCAUUACAAGGCUCUUAAUUAAAGAAAAAAAUGUGCUAAAGUUCUGAGGCACACUGAGCCAGUGGUGCCAGUGGUCUUUCACGUUCCUCCAAGCUCAUGGGAAUGUCUGUAGCAAAAUAGCACAAAUAUUACAAAAUGCCUUCUCCUGCUGAUUAUUGCUUGUCAUUUUCUAACCAUUUCAAGAACAGUUUCCAAUGACUUUAUGUUACUUUCAACAGUUGCAACCUUCAAGUACUUCACACUAAGCAGCAACAGGGACAUAACCAGCCUUUUCCAGAAUUUACUCUUAAUCUCAGUUGAGGUAAAGCCUUGGUUUAUAUGAAGUAGUUCACAUCUUGCUGGUGUGCAUUUGUGAACUCAUAAUUGGGGAAUACUUAAGAAAACUGAAAGAGGGUGGAGAUACAGUUAACUCAGACUAGCAAAAAAUAUAAUUAACUAUGCAAUCCUUUCACUGGGGCAGCAUUAUUUUUUACAUCUGGAAAAGUCCACAGAAAGGGCUAGAUCCCAUCCUACACCAAGGACUUGCACUGCUUCCUCCAUCAGCACAAAGCUGCUACGAAGACUUUUGGCCACACCUUAACUGGAUGCUGCAGAGUUCAUCUUACAGCUGUUGUUGGCAGACAGUCCCUGCCUCAUUACUGCUGGCCUUCUCCAUCUUGGGCAGCAUCCUGGUACCUGACAUCCACUUGCAGCUAUUCCUGGAAGUCACAAUCAAUUUUAGAGGUAGGUGUCAGACCAGCUGCCAGAUAUGAUAGAUCUGGAUUUUGAGGACCUUAUACCUGGAGGACUCAGAGGCAGAGGGGCAGCUCCUGUGAGAUACCAUGCGGGAGCAAGCUGUAUUUUUGCCAGCUAGACUAUGAUGUGAAAAUUAAAGCUCCUGAUGCUAGGAAGUGGGCCUUUUAUGGGCCUUUCCCCUCCAGCAGUGGCAGAUGAGUUCUUGGUGCCUUGAGUGCCCUUUCCAUCAGUGAGAAAUGAGUAGCUCCAGCAGCAGAAAUAAAAGUUCUGUGAAGCACUGCCUACAGCUUUAAGCUGAAAUAGGGUAUUGCAGCCACAAGCUGCACAUUAAUAGCAGAGAAUAACUCAAGAUUCAAUAUGUGUCUGCCCAGCAAAUCUCUGAGGAAGGAGAUACAGCUUGCCAGGUCUGGUACGCACUUGAGUCACAUGAGAAUAAUUAUGCUAAGUACCUUCAAAAAAAACUUUCUAGAAGUUAGAAGAAAUGUAUGCAACAGCCCUUGUUUCAACACAGUACUAUACUGCAAGAGAGUUAUAUGAAGGUGUUCCUAUUCAUUUGUUUCAUAAACUGUGUGAAACAAUGCCAGGAAAAGGCUCUUUUUUUUUUUUUUAACAACCAGAAAUAUUUCCUGAAUUUCUUUGAUUGCAACUAGCAUUGCUCAUACUAGCUCUUGUACUAUUUUGAACGCUUUUACAUGUGGAUAUAUAUGCAGAUCUCAUGCAGAGUACUAUACCAAGGAGUUAACCUGGAGCUUUGCAUGAUUCGUGUAACAUUGGUGCUGUAUAGUGAAUUGUUUAGACUGAAGAAUCAUCUCCAGACAGAACAAAUCCAGCUCUCUUGGUCUUUUUUCAUAGGAGAGAUGCUCCAGCACUCUGAGCAUCUUUGCAGCCCUCCUCUGGGCCCACUCCAACAGGUCUGCAUCCUUCUCAUGCUGUGGGCCUCAGACUUGGCUGCAGUACUCCAGAUGGGACAUCAGGAGGGAGAGAGGGACAAUUCCCUCCCUAUGCUGGCUGGCCGCCCCUCUUUUGAUGCAGCUCAGUUGCUGCUGGCCUUCCAGGUUGCAGGUGCACACUGCUGGCUCAUGUCUAGCUUUUCAUCGACCAGAAUUCCCAAGUCCUUCUCUGUUGGGCUGCUCUCAACGAGUUCUUCUCCUACUCUGUUCUCAUAUCUGGGAUUGCCUGAUCUGAAUGCAACACCUUGAACAUGGCCUUGUUGAACCUCAUUAGGUUCUCACUGGCCCACUUUUCAUGCAGUGCAGGUUCCUCUGGUUGGUGUCCCUUCCUUCUAUUUUAUCAGCAGCACCGUGAGCUUGUGUCAUCAGCAAACUUGCUGAGGGUACACUCGAUCCCACUAUCUAAUCAUUGGUAAAGAUGUUGGAGAGCACUGGUCCCAAAGCAGACCCAUGGGGGAUAUCACGCAUGACUGGCCUCUGCCUAGACAUAGAGCCAUUGGCUGUGACCAUCCAAGCAAUUCUUUAUUCACCUAAUAUUUCAGCUUUCAAGUCCAUAUCUCUCCAAUUUAGAGAGCCUUUUCCAUGCCGGUUGAAGCCAGUUCUCCCUCCCAACUUGUCAGAAGGGUUAUGUUCUCCUUUGUCUGUCUUCUGACCAAUGUACCUACAGAAUCCCUUCUUGUUGUUUUUUCCCUUCUUGUUGUUUUUUCCCUUCUUGUUGUUUUUUCACAUCCCUUGCCAAAUUUUGUUUCAACUCCACCUCGACUUUUCUGAUCCCAUCUCCAGAAGUCCAGGAUGAAUCCCUGAAUUCUCCCCAGGCCACUCAUACCUGUACUUUUCUUUCUUAUCCCUCAGUCUGACCAGCAGGUCCUUGUUCAGCCAUGCCAGUAUCCUGCCUCCUCUGCUUGAUUUUUUUCUGAUGGUGGAUGGAGAGUUCUUAUGCUCUCAGAAAGCCAUCCUUAAAGAGCUACCAGUUCUGUUCUGUUUCUAUGUCCUUAAGGACAGUUUCCCAGGGGAUUCCAUCUAAUAAUUCCUUAAACAGCUGGAAUAUCCCUCUUCUGAAGUUCA